RNAcentral lists this long non-coding RNA (219 nucleotides) under Gossypium barbadense (sea-island cotton). RNAcentral describes it as "long non-coding RNA (GBAR_LNC022205)". The record is from RNAcentral. Lineage: Eukaryota; Viridiplantae; Streptophyta; Magnoliopsida; Malvales; Malvaceae.
UAGGGGUAUUUCGGUUAUUUUACCUUAUGGAGGUAUUUUGGUUAUUUUACCUUAUUGGGGUAUUUCAGUCAUUUUACCCUAUGGGGUAUUUUAGUUAUUUUACCCUAUGGCGGUAUUUUGGUCGCCUCGAGCGACUCAGGUGAUCUAAAUGGUCAUAACAGUGUAAAUGGGCCCAAGGUCCAUUACUCAACCCAAGUGGGCCCACACGCUCGUCCAGCC